Micropterus salmoides (largemouth bass) is the source of this 606-nucleotide long non-coding RNA. RefSeq lists it as uncharacterized. The transcript has 3 exons. The record is from RefSeq and is a predicted model, not a curated record. NCBI's taxonomy places the organism in Eukaryota, Metazoa, Chordata, Actinopteri, Centrarchiformes, Centrarchidae.
UUGUAUGUUCUGAAGAGACUGCUUCACAAAUACCUUGUAGUGAUUUUUCUUUAUGCAAUUUUCAUUGUAGCGGAAGCUUAGAAGAAAAGUUAAGGUGCCAGUGUCCUUGUCUGCUGAGGAGUUCAACGCUGUCCUCAGAAAUGCGUUUCCAAGAGUGGGCGACACUGAUUUUGAGUUGGCAAGAGUAGAUUGUCAUAAAGAAACCACAAGACUUCAAGUUUGUCCACUAUCACCAUCUGUGCUGAAAGCCAGCAGAGAGCUGAAUCGAUCAGCUUUAUAUAUAUACUCCCAAAGGAUGCAGAAGAGGUCUCGAACUCUGGCCAAAACCUGGACCAAGAUGAUAUGGGGCACCCAUUUUAAGCUCUUUCUAGGCUUGUUGUAUAUUUCAUAAUGGCAUAUUGCAUCUUUGGCCAACAAAUGGGGUGUUCUGGUAUUUUGAAGGAUGAACAGGAGGUCCAUACUUCACAAAACUGCCUGGAGAGACCUAAUGCAAUGGCGAGGGAUGAUUUACAUGAGUGGCGUGCACUUCACAAGACAAGAUGAGGAAUACAUACAAAGUCUGCAAACUGAGCAGGAAAGGGUAAGCACACAGCAGUGUUUUAUAAA